Molecule: long non-coding RNA, 1357 nt
Filed under: Homo sapiens (human)
Lineage: Eukaryota; Metazoa; Chordata; Mammalia; Primates; Hominidae
Description: non-protein coding lnc-RPS25-1:27
Source: RNAcentral
AGAGCUGGGCGGGUUAAGGAGGAGGAUGGCGCCGUCCUGCAGAUGUGCGGGGACGCGCGCCCGCCGCAACGUGAGGCUCAUAGGCCACACGCAACUCUGAGCAUUGGCCAGGACCUGUAGUAGCCAACAGGACACUUAAUAACUGAUGUAUAGGUGCGCACUGUGUGUCCAGAGCUUUACGUUAACCACCUCACUGUGUCAUCUCGCUGAGGUUGUGUGGUUUACUAUUACUGCUAUUAGCGCAUUUUUAAGCGGGAAACCUGAGGCAUGAGGAGGGUCAGUCCUCGACCUUGUCCCCCCAAAUUGCUUCGUCUCUGAAUCCAGACUCUGAAGUUCGGCUCUGCCUACCACCUUAAGUUAUCCGAUGUGGCCUUACCGUCAGCCUAGUCUUUGACUACAGGAAGACCUCUCUUCCUGAAGAAGACGCCUCUUUUCAUCCAUUCACUCUGGAAAUGAUUCAACGUCUGCCUGCUGCUGAUGCUUUACUCUCCACCAGGGGUUUUCGAAGUGUGCUUCCCCAUUCCCCCUGGGCCUAUAGCAUCAGCAUCAGGGAACUUGUCAGUAACGCACAUUCUUGGGCCCCAACCCAGAACUACUGAAUCAGAAACUUGGGGUGAGGGCCUGUCGUGGUGGCUCAUGCCUGUAAUCCCAACACUUUGGGAAGCAGAGGAGGGUGGAUCACCUGAGGUCAGGAGUUGAGGACCAGCCUGGCUAACAUGGUGAAACCCCGUCUCUACUAAAAAUAGAAAAAUUAGCCAGAUGUGGUGGCGUGUGCCCAUAAUCCUAGCUACUCGGGAGACUGAGGCAGGAGACUCGCUUGAACCCAAGAGGCGGAGGUUGCAGUGAGCCAAGAUUGCACCACUGCACUCUAGCCUGGGCGACAGAGUGAGACUCCGUCUCAAAAAAAAAAAAAGAACUCAGGGUGAGGCCCAGCCGGCUGUGGUUUUAUGAGCUUUUCAGGGGAUACUGAUGCGGGAUCAAAUUUGAGAAGCACUGGUCUAGGUCUUAGAUCCUCUUGCUUCAGUUUCGUCAUUGGAUCUCAGGAAUGUUCAGCUGCCCUCUCAAGGCAACUUCUUACUUCACUUGACCUUCCAAGACCUCUCGUUCUGUCAAACCCCAAUUUUGGAUCAACCCAGGCAUGCUUCCCUCAUGUGUUCCAAAGCUGGUCAGAGUAGUCUACACCACUAUCUGCUUCAACUUCUAGUAACGUCUAAGCCUUCAGCAGUUUUGCUUAUGAAACUGCUUCACUGAAGUUCUCCACCACCAAGUAGUCAGCUGGCAUCGGAAUUCGGCUUGUGUCAAAUGGAACUCAACAUCUUCCUCUUCAGGACAUCCCCUAUUUUCAUCCUCCCAGUGA